RNAcentral lists this ribosomal RNA (434 nucleotides) under uncultured bacterium. Its description in RNAcentral is "partial 16S ribosomal RNA". It matches the Rfam family "Bacterial small subunit ribosomal RNA", at positions 29 to 507 of the family's 1533-position model. The record is from RNAcentral.
AGCGAACGCUGGCGGCAGGCCUAACACAUGCAAGUCGAACGAACCUUUCGGGGUUAGUGUCGGACGGGUGAGUAACACGUGGGAACGUGCCUUUAGGUUCGGAAUAACUCAGGGAAACUUGUGCUAAUACCGAAUGGGCCCUUCGGGGGAAAGAUUUAUCGCCUUUAGAGCGGCCCGCGUCUGAUUAGCUAGUUGGUUGAGGUAAUGGCUCACCAAGGCGACGAUCAGUAGCUGGUCUGAGAGGAUGAUCAGCCACAUUGGGACUGAGACACGGCCGAAAAUCCUACGGGAGGCAGCAGUGGGGAAUCUUGCGCAAUGGGCGAAAGCCUGACGCAGCCAUGCCGCGUGAAUGAUGAAGGUCUUAGGAUUGUAAAAUUCUUUCACCGGGGACGAUAAUGACGGUACCCGGAGAAGAAGCCCCGGCUAACUUCGUG